Molecule: long non-coding RNA, 1379 nt
Organism: Pipistrellus kuhlii (Kuhl's pipistrelle)
Lineage: Eukaryota; Metazoa; Chordata; Mammalia; Chiroptera; Vespertilionidae
Exons: 3
Source: RefSeq, a predicted model, not a curated record
CACCGCACCGGGAGCAUGCUUUAUGACCUGGUCUUUUCCUUUCCUCCUCCUCCCAGUUUGUGGCCACCUUGCUCCUGGCUAACUAAAGCUGCUUCCGCCAGCCGUUGGGCUGCACUUGGCCUAAGAGUAUAACUGCAAAUGGAAAUGAACCAACCAGGUCAGUGCAGGCUCAGAAGACCUCAGCUUGAAUCUCAGCUCUACCAGUUACAUACAAUGUGACCAUGAGUCACCUAUUUACAUGAUAUGGCCUUGAUGGUUUUUACCUAUAAAGUGGGGAUAAAAAUACCUUUGUAAAAGGAAAUAAUUGAAGGCAGAUUGAAUUAGAUAAUGUAUGAGAGUGUUUAGUCCUGGGGCUGGCACACCCUGAGUACUUAAGUGGUAGAUAUUUCAUUAUUUUUAGCUGUUCUCUGUUUGAAAUGAAAGUAGAACAAAAGAUUUUCUGAAAGAAAAAAAAAAGAAGAAAAUUCUAGCUGAGGCUUGACAAGUUACCAGGUAGUGAUUUGGAGGUUGAAUCAGGGAUGCUGAGCAAUGAGCUAACGUCUGGUCCAUGGAUCGGCAGCAUCAGCAUCACCUGGAGCUUACUGAAAUGCAGACUCUCAUGUCCCAGUCCCAGCACUCUGAGUAAGAAUGCACUUGUCAACAAACAAAAUCCCUGGUGAUCCUUGUACUCCUCAGAUGACACAUUUGGAGAGGCCUUAUGUUAUCACUCCCAAUACCAUGUCCCUCUUUCCUGUGCUAACAGGUGUCUUCCUGCGGACAGGUGGGCGCUGUGAGAGCAGGGAGCACAGAGGAACAGUGAGGAUUGGGGCUGAAGCCAGGAGGAAGCUGUGCCCCCAGCUGAAUAGAGGUCUGGCUGCACUUCCCACUUCUAACCAGCAGAUGGCAAGCGUGUUUCUUCUCAAAGGCCUUUGAAUUGCUUGACAUGGUAAGUCUUCUUUUCCAAAAGAAGCCAGAACAGAUCACCAUCCUGCAUCUCUACCACCACUGCAUCAUGCUAAUCAACUGGGGUCUGGAGUCAAAUACGUGCUAGGUGGUCAAAACACGUGAUGCAGUUGAGGCAGCCCUGCCCAGGCCCUCGUGAGGCAGCCUCUCUCUGCUGGGCUGAGUCCCCCAUGUGGGAGGGUCGGUUUGUGGCCAUAGCUGCCCGCUCCUCCUACCUCUUCACUGAGUGCUCCUUCCAGGAUGGAUGCAGCAUGGCCGUGCUCCUGUUCCUCCUCAGCCUCUCCACCCGCUUCCUCAACAUCUACCACCAGACAUAUCUGAGGAGAAGCUGACUUAAAUGGCAGGAUCCAAGGACUGAAACGCGCAGAGCCAUCCUCACAGAGACCGUGUGGCUCACCUCACCUGCGCUGAGCAGGUACCUGAGCCUGUACUGAGUC